ACGCUCGACACCUACGGGAGGCAGCAGUAGGGAAUCUUCCACAAUGGGCGCAAGCCUGAUGGAGCAACACCGCGUGAGUGAAGAAGGGUUUCGGCUCGUAAAGCNCUGUUGUUGGAGAAGAACGUGCGUGAGAGUAACUGUUCACGCAGUGACGGUAUCCAACCAGAAAGUCACGGCUAACUACGUGCUAGCAGCCGCGGUAAUCUGAGCGGGCUGGCAAGGC
Molecule: ribosomal RNA, 223 nt
Filed under: uncultured bacterium
Lineage: Bacteria
Description: partial 16S ribosomal RNA
Rfam family: Bacterial small subunit ribosomal RNA
Source: RNAcentral